This is a long non-coding RNA of Acinonyx jubatus (cheetah), 1489 nucleotides long. RefSeq lists it as uncharacterized. NCBI's taxonomy places the organism in Eukaryota, Metazoa, Chordata, Mammalia, Carnivora, Felidae. The record is from RefSeq and is a predicted model, not a curated record. The transcript is spliced from 3 exons.
CUGACACUCUGGCUAUAAGUCAGAGGUUCCCACAACCCCUUCCUUGGGUUCGAUUAAUUAGCUAGAGUGGCUUACAGAACUCGGGAAACUUGUUUAUUCACUACAUCACUGGUUUAUUACAAAGGAUAUUAAAGAAUAGGAAUUGACAGCCAGAUGAAGGGAUACAUGGGGUGAGGCCCCAAACGCAGAAGCUUCUGUCCCCGUGAGGUUUGGGGCACGACACAGUGGCACAUGGAGGCAUUCCGGUUUACCAACCUGGAAUCUCUGAACCCGGUCCUUUGGGGUGUUUCAUGGAGGCUUAAUUACAUGGUCAGGAUUAAAUUAUUGGCCAUCGGUGAUUGGACUCAGUCUCCAGCCCCUUGCCUUCCCUAGAGGUCAAGGAAGUAGGACUGAAAGUUCUAACCCUCUAAUCUCAUGGUGGGUUCUUCUGGCAACCAACCCCCAACCUUAGGUGUUUUCCAAAAGUCAUCUCACUAACAUAAAAAAGACAGAUUUAUCAUUUUCAACAUAGAAUAUUCCAAGAAUUUUCGGAGCUUUGUAGCAGGAGGGGCAAAAAGGCCAAUUAAGAUGGGUAUAGUAGCAUACUCAAUUAAGAUGGGUAUACUAGAUUUCUGUUGGUUAAUGUUUAAAUUGCCAUUUCCCCUAAUUUUCUGUAUCAAUAAACUUUACAUGUGUCUCUUUUAAGGUGCAUUUGAUGGAAUUUUUAUCUAGCCUGAUGUUUGCCUUUCGAUUUGGAAUAUUUCAUCUGCUUACAUGUAAUGGCAUUAACAUACAUAAUUUGGCUUAAACAUGUCAUCCUAAUAUUUGCUUUAUAUUUAUUUUUACCUGCUCUAAUUUCCUUUUCCUUUCCUUUCUUUUGAGAUAAUCAAUAAGGCCUAGGUUUGGUUUUCCUCAUACCCCUGUAGGCUUGACAAACACAGAGCUUCGUGAAUCUGUGACUUGAUGUCUUUGGUCACUUUUUAAACUUCCCAACUAUCAUUUAUUUAAAUAUAUCUUCUGUACUGUUGCCUUUCCUUUUUAUCUGGGACCAAUUGAACAUACGUUGUUAUUAUUUUCUACGACACCUUCAACUCUUGUCCUUUCUCUUUCAGGAUCCUCCAUCAUUUUGUCUCACCAGGCUUAAUGCUGGGUAUUUCUUCAGACUAAUUGUUUGUUUAUAGAAUUCUCCAUCCAGAGUACAUUGAUAGACAUCAUUCCUUUCAAAGAGGACCUAGAUACCUGGGUGUUUCCCAAGGAAGUAUGAAAGCUGAUAUAAACAUGGCAUUUCUGGCAUUCAUCUUCAUGAAUCCAUGAACAAGAGGGAGAAGCAGCAAUGGAUGAUACUUAUGUACAACCCCAAAUAAGAUAGUGUUAAAAAUAAAUUCAAGAGUUAUCUGCCUCGGUCACCUAAGGGUAGGUUCAGAGAAAUGAUGUAAAGGGAUAAGAGUAGAGGAUGGCUAAAAGCAAAGGUGAAAACUGCACCCAAGGCGAUGGAGCAACUUUCCACUGG